CCCUGCCCACUGAGUUUUAUAGGGCCGCGGUAUUUUGACCGUGCGAAGGUAGCAUAAUCAAUAGUCUUUUAAUUGAAGGCUGGUAUGAAUGGUUGAAUGAGAUAUAUACUGUUUUUUUAAAAUUUAUAUAGAACUUUAUUUUUUAGUUAAAAAGCUAAAAUUUAAUUAAAAGACGAGAAGACCCUAUAGAUCUUUAUUUUUAUAAAUUAUAAAUUAUAAAGAAUUUUAAAAUUUAUAUUUUAAAUAAAAUUUUACUGGGGUGGUAUUAAAAUUAAAUAAACUUUUAUUAUUUAUUUACAUUGAUUUAUGAAUAAAAGAUCCUGUUUUAUGGAUUAAAAAUUUAAGUUACCUUAGGGAUAACAGCGUAAUUUUUUUAGAGAGUUCAUAUCGAUAAAAAAGAUUGCGACCUCGAUGUUGGAUUAAGAGUUAUUUUUAGGUGUAGAAGUUUAAAGUUUAGGUCUGUUCGACCUUUGAAUUCUUACAUGAUCUGAGUUCAAACCGGAGAAGAG
RNAcentral lists this ribosomal RNA (509 nucleotides) under Anopheles gambiae (African malaria mosquito). RNAcentral's name for it is "partial large subunit ribosomal RNA". It matches the Rfam family "Bacterial large subunit ribosomal RNA", at positions 1857 to 2629 of the family's 2925-position model. Lineage: Eukaryota; Metazoa; Arthropoda; Insecta; Diptera; Culicidae. The record is from RNAcentral.